Molecule: transfer RNA, 74 nt
Filed under: Pirellula sp.
Lineage: Bacteria; Pseudomonadati; Planctomycetota; Planctomycetia; Pirellulales; Pirellulaceae
Also listed under: 1 other name
Description: tRNA-Ile
Rfam family: tRNA
About the family: Transfer RNA (tRNA) molecules are approximately 80 nucleotides in length. Their secondary structure includes four short double-helical elements and three loops (D, anti-codon, and T loops).
Source: RNAcentral
GCGCACGUAGCUCAGUUGGUUAGAGCGCGUCGCUGAUAACGACGAGGUCCGUGGUUCGAAUCCGCGCGUGCGCA